AUAUAUAAAACAUAGUCUUUAUGAAGCCCCACACAUGAAGUGCUUUCAGAAUGAUUCCAAAUUCAGGCUAGUAUGGUGGAAGUUCCUUCCCACCAAAUCACAGUCUAAAACCUCCUCUCUAUGAAAAUUCUGGAGCAACCAUCGGUCAUGGAAAUAUUUUUAUUCCCCUUCCCUUCAUAGACAUACUUGAAAGUAGUCAAUUAAUGUACAAUAAGUGCUAUUCGAAUCUGGAACAGAUACUUCUUAUCUGUGUUCAUGAUUGCCUUUCCAAGGUUUGUGGAUCCCCAGUCUCUGAUUUUGUAUGUUUGUUCAUUUGUCCUGAGAAAGUAUCCAUAUCCUGCACAGACUUCUAAAAGAGGUCCCUGACCCAGAGGAAGAUAGAAAGUUCUACUCUGUGACCUAAAAUUGACAAAAUCAUGAAACUAAACCACAUAAAAUAUUUGUAACGAUUACAUUUUUAAAAAUUUAACACCAAAAAUAGAAUUAAAAUUUUCAUUUAUCAUAAUCUCUAGCUAGUGCUCUAAGUUACUGGCAGGCAUCCUCACAAAAAUCACAACGUGUCUUCAACGAAUCACGUUCCUCAGACCCAGUCCUGAAAUAGAAAUUAGUCGUGCAAAUUCCAAAGAACACACAAUUUAGAGACAAUUUCUGGAAUCUAACGCAGUAUCUACUCAGUUUAUUUCGUUGUCUUUGACUCACUUGGAGUGUGAAAUGUCAGAGGACUGUAUACAUAAGUUAACCGCGUAUGUGUCAUACAAAAUCCAACACAAGGACAAUAAAUCCUUCCUUACCAAAGUGGUGUCCAAAUGUUAAUGAUACAUCAUGUUAGGUCUCAGUUGUCUUUCCACUUAAAAAAAUGUUCCCUCCCAAUUUUGAGAUUAAAUUAUGAGUUGGUUGGUGCCAUUUUAGCAAAUCUUACCUGUCAAUGUGUGAGCAAAGUGGGAUGAGAACUUACUAUCUUUUCUAAAAACAUUUGCAUAUAUAUGCAGAGCAAUUCAGCCCAAAUUCUACCUUUGGAAAUAAGUGCACAAAUCCAGUGAAGCGAAAAGAGCCAUGUGCUUGUUUAUGGGAAGGAGUGGUUUGGAAAGAAUGGUAAUAGCAGCUACAAGUUAAAUUGAAAACUUAGUGGACCAUUGAUAAUGCUAAGACCUGGUUGCUCUUCAGCCCUUCAACAGCUGAGAAAGGGUAGAAUUGUGGACACCAGUGCCUUUCCUGAGAAGCAGACAUACUUAGUUCUUACCUCCUUAUCAUCUGACAACCUAUUGAUUUUUAUUUACUUAUUCUGUUUUCUUGGUUGAUAGCAUAGUUCUUUCAAUGACUUUAUACAAAAUUCUGGAGUUGUUGUAACUUCUCAGUUUAGUGGCUGAUUUUUCCCCAACCCCGUUAAGUGAGGGGAUGUCGCUAAUUACACCCCAAAAGUAAAAUCCCAUAUGAUAUGUGCUCCUCUCUACCUAUCUCAUAUUAUUCUAUGGGAUAGACUUUGCUGUAUGUCACCCUUGUGACAACAGUGACAACAGUGGCAUUGCCACCAUCAUUUAAAUAACAGAACCAAAAGUCUACGCAGAGUCUUAUUUCAUUUUUUUUAAGGGUAUUUAUUUUUGAGACAGAGAGAGACAGAGCAUGAACAGGGGAGGGUCAGAGAGAGAGGGAGACACAGAAUCAGAAGCAGGCUCCAGGCUCUGAGCUGUCAGCACAGAGCCUGACGCGGGGCUCGAACCCAUGAACCGUGAGAUCAUGACCUGAGCCGAAGUCGAAUGCUCACCUGACUGAGCCACCCAGGCACCCCAGUGCAGAGUUGAUUGUUACUCAUUUUUCAUGAAAUUACUCUUUUCUUAGUAGAGUCGUCCUGGAAAUGUUUCUGCAUAUAUUUAUCUGCUGCAUAACAAAGCUUAAAUCCAAUGAGCUUUCCAAUCUAGAAUUUUAGUUUAAUUUUAAGAAAGAGAUACAGUAAAUAUGUGCUGUGUUGAAAGAUUUUUUAAAUUUCAUUUAAGGAAAAAAAAAAAAAAAAAACCUCCAUAAAAUGAAAAGGACUUUGUUCUUAGAAUCUCUACUAUACUUGUUUGGGGGAAAAUGUAGUUGCCAGCCAUGAAAACUCUUUUACUAAAAACAGAAGUAUAAUCCGUAUUUUUUUAAUGGCCCACUUAGCAGGAUGCCAGUGUACUCAAGUGACAUCUUUUUAAUGAAGCCUAAGGGGAAAAGCUCACCUUGUCUCUGCAGAUAUGUGUGUGAGACAGCAGUCUCUGCAGACCACAGAGAGUUCUAUUAACCUCCUGCAGAUCCUAUCUGAGGGGGUGGGCCCGCUAAUCCGUGCGUUACUCAUACUUCUCAGCCUGACCCCUUCCCCUCAGAUGAGACAGAAUCUUGGUGGAAGCCGAGUGCAUCAGACCCCCUCCAGCCUGUGGCUAGAGGACAGAACCAAGUGGACCAAAGCAAACCACAGCAUCAGGAGCAAUGAGUGUUUUUCUGAUGUCCUUAAUAAUAACUCCUGAAGUCCACCAUUUCCCCAUUUCUGUUGUUUUUGGACCCAAAAUAGAAUGUAUAUUUUGGUUUGCAUAAAACAAUUCUUGUAGACAUUAGAUUAUAAAAUAAUGUAACAUUGUAAAAUAA
Neofelis nebulosa (Clouded leopard) is the source of this 2607-nucleotide long non-coding RNA. RefSeq lists it as uncharacterized. NCBI's taxonomy places the organism in Eukaryota, Metazoa, Chordata, Mammalia, Carnivora, Felidae. The record is from RefSeq and is a predicted model, not a curated record. The transcript has 2 exons.